AACGCGAAGAACCUUACCUGGGCUUGACAUGCAGAAGACAACAGUAGAGAUACUGUCUCCCUUCGGGGUUUCUGCACAGGUGCUGCAUGGCUGUCGUCAGCUCGUGCCGUGAGGUGUUGGGUUAAGUCCCGCAACGAGCGCAACCCUUAUCAUUAGUUGCCAUCAGGUAAUGCUGGGAACUCUAAUGAGACUGCCUGGGUUAACCAGGAGGAAGGUGGGGAUGACGUCAAGUCCGCAUGGCCCUUAUGUCCAGGGCUACACACGUGCUACAAUGGUCGGUACAGAGGGCAGCCAAAUCGUGAGAUGGAGCAAAUCCCCCAAAGCCGGCCCCAGUUCAGAUUGUAGUCUGCAACUCGACUACAUGAAGUUGGAAUUGCUAGUAAUGGCGUGUCAGCUACAACGCCGUGAAUACGUUCCCGGGCCUUGUACACACCGGCUAC
Molecule: ribosomal RNA, 440 nt
Filed under: uncultured bacterium
Lineage: Bacteria
Description: bacterial SSU rRNA
Rfam family: Bacterial small subunit ribosomal RNA
Source: RNAcentral